UUGACCUCAAAUCAGGUAGGACUACCCGCUGAACUUAAGCAUAUCAAUAAGCGGAGGAAAAGAAACUAACAAGGAUUCCCCUAGUAACUGCGAGUGAAGCGGGAAAAGCUCAAAUUUAAAAUCUGGCGGUCUCGCGGCCGUCCGAGUUGUAAUCUGGAGAAGCGUCUAUCCGCGUCGGACCGUGUACAAGUCUUCUGGAAGGGAGCGUCGUAGAGGGUGAGAAUCCCGUCUUUGACACGGACAACCGAUGCUUUUGUGAUGCGCUCUCGAAGAGUCGAGUUGUUUGGGAAUGCAGCUCAAAAUGGGUGGUAAAUUCCAUCUAAAGCUAAAUAUUGGCGAGAGACCGAUAGCGAACAAGUACCGUGAGGGAAAGAUGAAAAGCACUUUGGAAAGAGAGUUAAACAGUACGUGAAAUUGUUGAAAGGGAAACGUUUGAAGUCAGUCGCGUCGGCCGAGACUCAACCUUGCUCUUCGCUCGGUGCACUUCUCGGUUGACGGGUCAGCAUCAAUUUCGACCGCCG
This 521-nucleotide ribosomal RNA is filed under the name uncultured Piloderma. RNAcentral's name for it is "eukaryotic LSU rRNA". It matches the Rfam family "Eukaryotic large subunit ribosomal RNA", at positions 1 to 517 of the family's 3401-position model. Lineage: Eukaryota; Fungi; Basidiomycota; Agaricomycetes; Atheliales; Atheliaceae. The record is from RNAcentral.